CUUUAAAGCACACGCAUUGUCCAGACGAAUGCAAAUAAAAAUCUGUCUUGCCUUCUUGGAGAGUGGAAACCGGGAACAGGGAUCACAAAAGCGGCGGAAUGUUCGAAGCUCACAAAGCGAUGGAAUGUUAGAACUGGAAUCCCGUCCAACACCUUCGCGGACACUCUUGAACAUUUUUAAAACACAGUAGGCUUUUAAGCUCAAGCCAGAGUGAAUUGUAAAGGAAAUACCAUCCGUGGGGCGAACCGUCCAAAAUGCCCUGCACCAUUUACUAACUCACUGGCUCCGGGAACUCAUUACUGUCGCUGGCUCUGCCAUUAAUCCAGAAGUUUGUAUUUUGGGAAGAAACUGCAUGUGCAUAAUUGCAAAGCAACUAGGGCUGAUUAUUUCAAACCAUCUCACUCAUGUCGGAAAAGAAUUGUUAGUGACCUUUCUUUCAACUGAGGAGGAAGACAAAUAUAUAACUAGUAUUUUCCCCCUGUAUUAUUUGCAAUGGUUAGUCAUACAUACUUUCUGUGGGUUCGCACCACCUGAAGUCGAGAGAGAAGAAGAAGAUGACUUUUCUGAGUAUCCACCCCAUGUGGCAUUUGCACGAAGAUGCUUGCCUAUGCCACCAUCUUGAGGGACAAAGAAAUGAUUUCAGUAUUUCCGGUAUUUGCAGGCUGAGUUUAUCGACCCACGGGGAAAUGACAGAGCAGUAUUUUACCCUUAGGGUCUACACCCCCCAGAUGCGAUGGCUCACCAUGAAUCCACUCCUGCUCUCCGUUGCUUUCUGCAAACUGAGGCCUUGAACGGAUGGAGAAGGAAAAGUGUCGGUGGGGUGGGAGAAUUGCUGCACUCUGGAGGCCUCGCCACAUCCCUCCGUGUCAGAUUCAUGACCCACAGCGGAGGGCCAAUCUCGGGGCCUCUCCUAUUUCUGAACCGGUUCGCCUGCUCUUUGACAGCUGGGAGCUUUAGCUCCAGCUCUCUUCCGGUUGUUCAGAACUUCUCCCAGCUUCUGGAAUAAAUUUAAUUGCUGGCCCUCA
Felis catus (domestic cat) is the source of this 1025-nucleotide long non-coding RNA. RefSeq lists it as uncharacterized. NCBI's taxonomy places the organism in Eukaryota, Metazoa, Chordata, Mammalia, Carnivora, Felidae. The record is from RefSeq and is a predicted model, not a curated record. The transcript is spliced from 3 exons.